UAAAUUAUGUUUAGAUAGCCAUGCAUGUCUAAGUAUAAGCAAUCUAUACGGUGAAACUGCGAAUGGCUCAUUAAAUCACUUAUCGUUUAUUUGAUAGUACCUUGCUACAUGGAUACCUGUGGUAAUUCUAGAGCUAAUACAUGCUGAAAACCUCGACUUCGGAAGGGGUGUAUUUAUUAGAUAAAAAACCAAUGCCCUUCGGGGCUCCUUGGUGAUUCAUAAUAACUUAACGAAUCGCAUGGCCUUGCGCCGGCGAUGGUUCAUUCAAAUUUCUGCCCUAUCAACUUUCGAUGGUAGGAUAGUGGCCUACCAUGGUGGCAACGGGUAACGGGGAAUUAGGGUUCGAUUCCGGAGAGGGAGCCUGAAAA
This 368-nucleotide ribosomal RNA is filed under the name Paecilomyces sp. AM91. RNAcentral's name for it is "SSU rRNA". It matches the Rfam family "Eukaryotic small subunit ribosomal RNA", at positions 47 to 402 of the family's 1831-position model. The record is from RNAcentral. Lineage: Eukaryota; Fungi; Ascomycota; Eurotiomycetes; Eurotiales; Thermoascaceae.